UCGGGAAAAGGGGGAAACACGGCGGGAUUUCACACGAGGGGGCCUCGGGGUGGCGGCUGGGAGUUAUCACCCCGCUGGGAUCAUCAUCCCGCUGGGAUCAUCAUCCCCCUGGGAUCUUCGUCCCGCUGGGAUGUCACUGAGCUGCUGCCACAGGGAUGGCACUGCGGAGGUCACAGCUGAAAUCCUGCGUUCAGCUCUGGAUCCAGAAUGGAAAGAAGAGAGACACCUCCGAAUGGAUAUCCCAUUCCAUCAGUUUGUCCUUGGGGGAUCCCCCUGUGCUGCCAGAACAGAGCCAGGAGCAACGUAAAAAUGCAACCUAAAUGUCCCAAGCUUCUCCACUGCACAAAAAGGGGAUUUGAGGCUGUUUUUUCAUGGAAUUCCAACAGCCCCGGGCACUGCAACUGGCCUUUGGGAUGAGCAGCAAAUACCAAUUUCCUCGGAUCAUGGCAAGGAGGUUUCUUUAUUAAAUUUUAGUGAACUUUAUUGAA
Onychostruthus taczanowskii (white-rumped snowfinch) is the source of this 488-nucleotide long non-coding RNA. RefSeq lists it as uncharacterized. The transcript is spliced from 2 exons. The record is from RefSeq and is a predicted model, not a curated record. NCBI's taxonomy places the organism in Eukaryota, Metazoa, Chordata, Aves, Passeriformes, Passeridae.